This 497-nucleotide ribosomal RNA is filed under the name uncultured bacterium. RNAcentral describes it as "partial 16S ribosomal RNA". It matches the Rfam family "Bacterial small subunit ribosomal RNA", at positions 28 to 507 of the family's 1533-position model. The record is from RNAcentral.
GAUGAACGCUGGCGGCGUGCCUAAUACAUGCAAGUCGAGCGAACAGACGAGGAGCUUGCUCCUCUGACGUUAGCGGCGGACGGGUGAGUAACACGUGGAUAACCUACCUAUAAGACUGGGAUAACUUCGGGAAACCGGAGCUAAUACCGGAUAAUAUAUUGAACCGCAGGGUUCAAUAGUGAAAGACGGUUGUGCGGUCACUUAUAGAUGGAUCCGCGCCGCAUUAGCUGGUUGGUAAGGUAACGGGUUACUAAGGCAACGAUGCGUAGCCGACCUGUGAGGGUGAUCGCCGACCUGGGAGCUGGGCCGCCGACAAUACUCCUGCGGGAGGGACCAGAAGCCUACGUUCCGCAGCAGGCGAGAGCAUUACGGAACGACGCCGCGUGAGUGACGAAAGUCUUGGGAUCGUAAAGCUCUCUUAUGAGGUAAGAACAGAUGUGGAAGUAACUAUGCACGUAUUGACGGUAACUAAUCAGAAAGCCACGGCUAACUACGUG